This 451-nucleotide ribosomal RNA is filed under the name uncultured bacterium. RNAcentral's name for it is "bacterial SSU rRNA". It matches the Rfam family "Bacterial small subunit ribosomal RNA", at positions 354 to 796 of the family's 1533-position model. The record is from RNAcentral.
GUGGGGAAUAUUGGACAAUGGGGGGAACCCUGAUCCAGCCAUGCCGCGUGUGUGAAGAAGGCCUUUUGGUUGUAAAGCACUUUAAGCGAGGAGGAGGCUACCGAGAUUAAUACUCUUGGAUAGUGGACGUUACUCGCAGAAUAAGCACCGGCUAACUCUGUGCCAGCAGCCGCGGUAAUACAGAGGGUGCAAGCGUUAAUCGGAUUUACUGGGCGUAAAGCGCGCGUAGGUGGCCAAUUAAGUCAAAUGUGAAAUCCCCGAGCUUAACUUGGGAAUUGCAGUCGAUACUGGUUGGCUAGAGUAUGGGAGAGGAUGGUAGAAUUCCAGGUGUAGCGGUGAAAUGCGUAGAGAUCUGGAGGAAUACCGAUGGCGAAGGCAGCCAUCUGGCCUAAUACUGACACUGAGGUGCGAAAGCAUGGGGAGCAAACAGGAUUAGAAACCCUAGUAGUCC